Myotis myotis is the source of this 336-nucleotide long non-coding RNA. RefSeq lists it as uncharacterized. NCBI's taxonomy places the organism in Eukaryota, Metazoa, Chordata, Mammalia, Chiroptera, Vespertilionidae. The transcript has 2 exons. The record is from RefSeq and is a predicted model, not a curated record.
UCUGAGUCCAGUUUAAGAACCCAUUACGGCCCUCGAGUCAAAAAGUUUGCCCACCCAGAGGGAGCCAGGACUCAACAGAAAGUGAAGUAGAAUGGAGUCAAUUACAUCUCAAAGGGUAAUGCCAACCCAAAUCAAUGCUUCCUAAUGAAAAUCUGUUUACUGGAUCAAGUGGAUGACUCAAGUAUAAACUAGACUUUGAAUUAUUCAUUUUAUACUUGGAAAGAAUCAUUUUCAGAUACGACUGAGCCUAGGUGUUCCUACUGUACCACACUGCCCUGUGGGAGAACAUUCUGAUGGAAACACUUGCCUUGAAAUAAAAAACUUUUUUAUAAUUUU